CCCCGGGAAACCGCCGGUGCCUCAGCCGCCGAAAAUAGUUAACGAAAAUGUCCGUAAUGUUCGCUGACGUGUCUGUUGUUCUUCCGUCAGCUGCCGGCGGUUUGAAACUCUCCAAUGCAUUUUCCGACUCCAAAUUCCUUCUCUCUCCUUCUUUCUCCAAAAGCUCUCCAUCUUCUUCUGUUCCGAGGCUAGGACUUGGACUAGGAAAGGCCCAAACUAGAAGCUGGAAAAUAAGAGCAACAGCAUCAGGAAGUUCAGGAGGUGAUUUGGUCCCAGUUGCUCCUGUUCAGUUGGAGUCAGCUGUUGGUCAAUUUUUAGCCCAGAUGUUGCAAACCCAUCCCCAUCUGCUCCCUGCAGCUAUUGAACAGCAGCUGGAUAACCUUCAGAAUGAAAGGGAUGCCCAAUUAAAGGAAAACCAGUCUUCUACCAAAGAUGUCCUCCAAAAGAGAAUAGCUGAAGUCAAAGAGAAAGAAAGGCGGAAAAUAUUAGAGGAGAUUCUGUACUGCUUAAUUGUACAUAAAUUUGUAGAGAAUGACAUUUCAAUGAUCCCAAAAAUAUCUGAAACAUCAGAUCCUACUGGAAAUGUGGGUUAUUGGCCAAAUCAAGAGCAGAAGCUAGAGUCCGUACACUCCCCUGAUGCAUUUGAAAUGAUCAUCAGUCACAUAACCAUAGUUCUUGGUGAGCGUGCUGUGGGGCCUCUUGAUAGCAUUGUUCAAAUGAGCAAAAUCAAACUUGGCAAGCUCUAUGCUGCUUCUAUUAUGUAUGGAUAUUUCCUCAAAAGGGUUGACGAACGUUAUCAACUUGAAAGAUCUGUGAGUAAGCCUCCUGAGAGCUUCCAGAUCUCAACGAAUCCUGACGAGCCAGCAGCACCGAGACAACUAUGGGAUCCAGAUUCAUUGAUAGAAAUUUACCCUGAAGAUGGUGACAGAGAAGGUUUUGCAGUUUCUGAUAUUGAGGGUAAACCAGAGAGGCUGAGAUCCUAUGUGAUGUAUUUGGAUGCGGACACAUUACAGAGAUAUGCAACCUUAAGAUCAAAAGAGGCAGUUACUGUGAUUGAAAAGCAGACACAAGCAUUGUUUGGAAGGCCCGAUAUUAAAGUUACUGGUGAUGGUACCCUAGAUGUAUCUAAUGAUGAAGUUCUGUCUGUUACAUACUCUGGUUUGACAAUGCUGGUGCUGGAGGCAGUUUCUUUUGGAUCAUUUUUAUGGGAGACAGAAGGCUAUGUGGAGUCGAAAUACCAUAUUAUCAAUAGCUAGAGAUACUCUUUUGUACUUGAACAAGAAAUAUUUUUUCAUCUUCUAGUUCUGUAUAUUGUUUACUCGUUCGAACCCACUUAGCAUGAAUUUUGUAUCUGCUAAUCAUCAGACUCAUAUAGCAUGUUUUACACG
This 1388-nucleotide unclassified non-coding RNA is filed under the name Hevea brasiliensis (rubber tree). The record is from RNAcentral. Lineage: Eukaryota; Viridiplantae; Streptophyta; Magnoliopsida; Malpighiales; Euphorbiaceae.